CGCGGCCUAUCAGCUUGUUGGUGAGGUAACGGCUCACCAAGGCAACGACGGGUAGCUGGUCUGAGAGGACGAUCAGCCACACUGGGACUGAGACACGGCCCAGACUCCUACGGGAGGCAGCAGUGGGGAAUCUUGCGCAAUGGGGGAAACCCUGACGCAGCGACGCCGCGUGCGGGAUGAAGGCCCUAGGGUUGUAAACCGCUUUCAGCAGGGACGAAAUUGACGGUACCUGCAGAAGAAGGCCCGGCCAACUACGUGCCAGCAGCCGCGGUAAUACGUAGGGGCCAAGCGUUGUCCGGAAUCAUUGGGCGUAAAGAGCUCGUAGGCGGUUUGGUAAGUCGGAUGUGAAAUCUCCACGCUCAACGUGGAGCGGCCAUCCGAUACUGCUAUGACUCGAGUCCGGUAGAGGAGUGUGGAAUUCCCGGUGUAGCGGUGAAAUGCGCAGAGAUCGGGAGGAACACCCGUAGCGAAGGCGACACUCUGGGCCGGUACUGACGCUGAGGAGCGAAAGCGUGGGGAGCGAACAGGAUUAGAUACCCUGGUAGUCCACGCCGUAAACGUUGGGCACUAGGUGUGGGGGUCUAUCGACGACCUCUGUGCCGUAGCUAACGCAUUAAGUGCCCCGCCUGGGGAGUACGG
Molecule: ribosomal RNA, 639 nt
Filed under: uncultured Actinomycetes bacterium
Lineage: Bacteria; Bacillati; Actinomycetota; Actinomycetes
Description: bacterial SSU rRNA
Rfam family: Bacterial small subunit ribosomal RNA
Source: RNAcentral